Molecule: ribosomal RNA, 253 nt
Filed under: uncultured bacterium
Lineage: Bacteria
Description: partial 16S ribosomal RNA
Rfam family: Bacterial small subunit ribosomal RNA
Source: RNAcentral
UACGUAGGGGGCAAGCGUUGUCCGGAAUCAUUGGGCGUAAAGCGCGCGUAGGCGGCCCGGUAAGUCCGCUCUGAAAGUCCAGGGCUCAACCCUGGAAAGCGGGUGGAUACUGUCGGACUAGAGUACAGAAGGGGCAACUGGAAUUCUCGGUGUAGCGGUGAAAUGCGUAGAUAUCCGGAGGAACACCGGUGGCGAAGGCGGCUUCCUGGACCGAUACUGACGCUGAGGCGCGAAAGCUAGGGGAGCAAACGGG